CAUCGCAGCGCUCGGUCGCCAGCAGGCAGGCCUCCCCAUCCUCACAGCGGUAGCCCUGGGGGCACGACAGCGAGCUGUGCGUUGGGCAGCUCCUCUCGUCGGUGCCAUCCUGGCAGUCCCUCCGGCCGUCGCAGCGCUUCCAGUUGGGGAUGCAUUUGUGCAGCUGCUGGCAUUCGAACUCGGUCCUGCUGCAGCGGCCGCGCGGCGCUGGGGGGCUGGAGGUCACAUUGGGGUCUGCGGG
RNAcentral lists this long non-coding RNA (241 nucleotides) under Gallus gallus (chicken). Lineage: Eukaryota; Metazoa; Chordata; Aves; Galliformes; Phasianidae. The record is from RNAcentral.